RNAcentral lists this ribosomal RNA (482 nucleotides) under uncultured bacterium. RNAcentral's name for it is "partial 16S ribosomal RNA". It matches the Rfam family "Bacterial small subunit ribosomal RNA", at positions 30 to 507 of the family's 1533-position model. The record is from RNAcentral.
AUUGAACGCUGGCGGCAUGCCUUACACAUGCAAGUCGAACGGUAACGGGCCUUCGGGUGCCGACGAGUGGCGAACGGGUGAGUAAUACAUCGGAACGUGCCCGAUCGUGGGGGAUAACGAGGCGAAAGCUUUGCUAAUACCGCAUACGAUCUACGGAUGAAAGCAGGGGACCGCAAGGCCUUGCGCGGACGGAGCGGCCGAUGGCAGAUUAGGUAGUUGGUGGGAUAAAAGCUUACCAAGCCGACGAUCUGUAGCUGGUCUGAGAUGAUGAUCAGCCACACUGGGACUGAGACACGGCCCAGACUCCUACGGGAGGCAGCAGUGGGGAAUUUUGGACGAUGGGCGCAAGCCUGAUCCAGCCAUGCCGCGUGCAGGAUGAAGGCCUUCGGGUUGUAAACUGCUUUUGUACGGAACGAAAAGCCUUCUUUUAAUACAGGAGGGUCAUGACGGUACCGUAAGAAUAAGCACCGGCUAACUACGUG